GGCGUGUGCACAGCUGAGAAAUAGGAGGCUGUCACACCCGGGUUUUGGGGCACCAAGACUCGGGCACGAACAUAAUCACCAGGUGUGUUGGGACCAAGUCUCACACAUAUGAUGAUUCAUGGCACAGGAUCGAAUGUCACGUCUUUACUACAUAACAGGAGUUCUAUACAAAAUAAAUAAAUAAUUACAUUAUAAGGAGACAACGGUCCAGCAACCCAAAGUUGACUGGGAGACGAUGACCUAGAUCUCUCACGAACUCAUCGCAACAUCCUCCAUGCGCCUCAUCUUGCGGUACCUGUUCUUGACCUGUGUGGGGGGUGUGAGACAGCAAGAGUGAGCUCACAUACGUUCAUCGCUCAACAAGUUGUGGAAAAUAAUGUGCAUGAACUCGCCAAAGGUGGGAGCUCAUGUGAAGUGUAAGGCUUACCAAAGAGGAUGGUUAGAGCUGAGCAUUGCUUUUAAAGUUGGUCAAAAUUUUAUUAGCAAUUACUAAGUAUAAGUAAAUACCAACCCAAUUAAGUAGUAGAACAAAAGUAACAACAUCACCUGCGAUGCAAUGCAUAUGACAAAUUGAAUUUAGUUCCAUAAGUUAAUCAUCAGAGAGUCCUGAGCUGCUCAUGACCGUGAGCUCGGCUAGUAUACCAGUUUUACACUUUGCAGAGGUUGUACCCUUUACCCACAAGUCGUGUAUCCCAUGUCGCCAGGGUUAGCUAGACCCUUAGACACUACCGAGGUGAAUGGCUAGGGAUCCACUACGAGGCCUUUACAAAUUUCCACUAGCUUCCGAAAAUCCGCUACAGUUUAUGAGAAGCGCACUUGCAAGAAUCCCCCGUCUGACCGCCAUCGCAGCAAAAUCAACCCGAGAACCUCCUUGCAUGCAACUCCCCUACUGCCCUUGCCCCUUUCGGGUAAGGUAGUCUUCCACUAGCUUUCCUAAUUAAUCAGCCAAGGGCGUCCAUAAACCCUUGUGGUGGCACGUGUUUCUCAAGUUAAGCUCCAUGUUCCAAUUAACAUUAAUGGUCUUGACAUGAACAUAAAUAAAAUAACAAAAUAACUGGAACAUGGAUAUAAUAAAUGAUUAUCCCAAAACCAUGUAAAGCAAUAGCAAACUACCCAAGUGAUUCAGGGGUAAACAAGGUAAUGAGAUAAACAAUCUAGGGUGACCUAUCGGGUCCCAUCAAAAUUAAACCUAUGCAUGAACAUGUGACAUUAAAGAACAUUAUUGGGUAAAAAGUGGUCAAGGGCACAACUUGCCUAGCACUUGAGAUUCCAGGUACCAACUUGCCUUACAGAUGACACGUGUCCUCGCGCUAGUCGUAGCAAUACAAGCAAACAUGGUAUAGAUAAAAUUAACAUCCCACCAAAUAUAAGAACAAACUGAAUAAUAAUGAUCUACGCGUCGCUACGAGAUCGUGGAAACGAGAACUACUAAGAUCGUUGUGAGGUUACGAACUAUGGAAGAUCUACGUGAUUCAAAUAUUAAACUAUAUUAUAAAUUGAUUAGUAUACACCAUAUGAGAGAAUAUUCUAUGAAUAAUUAACUCAACUUUAAUUUAGGUCAUUACUUGAUUAAAGAUCAUCUUUUAGUCAAUUUAUAACCAUAAGAUGAGCAUACUAUAUUAAUAUUAGAAAAGCUAAUCCAAUAAACCUUAAUUAAUCCAAUUAGUUACUUAAUUAUAUAAGUACGUAAUAUCGUAUAAUUAAUGUUGCUACUGCAUAGUAAAUAUUUAUACGAAGCUAACGUGACUUGAACGGAUACAAUCGGAGUUAAAUCGGACAAGUUAUGGUUUUCAGAAGGUUUAAGUGUGGGGGUACAAAAGAAAUUAAGCGCGUAAUUUUAUCAUGGAUUCCAUGACAAAAUAGAGUUACUAGAUGAUAAAGAAUAUUAAUAUGAGACUAAUGCAACUGGAAUGAAUCAGAUCAGAGCUAAACUAUGAGAAUUAUGAAUUAAACAAGUUUGAGUUGCAUUUAUUAUUAAUUUUAAUGCCAAAAUAAACGCGAGGGACUUCUCUGCAAAUUCAGAGGACUGAUCUGUAAUUUCAAAUUUUGUUUCCGAGGUUACUGCUGUGAAAAACAGGACGGCGGGUUAGUUAUUAAAAAGUCUAGGGUCCCAUUUGUAAGUCUGGCUCGGCAAAGGGGUAUCGUCUAUUAUGGACCGCUCGAUUAUAUUUGAAUGGCCAUUGUCUAGAUAUGAAGCGGUAUUCGGCGAUGUCCGCACGAUCAGAAAUCGACGGCUCGCGAGAUCAACGGUCACAGUUUAAUGAAACACAGAUCAAAUCCGGACCAUGCGUUGGACGAUCAACGGUCCAGAAUCAACCAUGGAACGAUCUACUUCUAGUUCGAUGAAGAUCCUACGGUGACUGUGUGUCUUCUACCUCAUGCUGCUAUACCCCUUUCUAUACGUAUGCGAGACCCCAGUAACAGUAGGUACAUUAACCCAACACCACCGGCAUGGAAGAGGAGUCUCACCGUCGAUGGUGGUGAGGCUGGCCGACGAUGGAGCGCGGAUUUCGCGGCGAGCCGCAGACCCAGUGCUCGAUUCCCUCCCCUGCGGUCGCCCAGACCAUCGUUCGGCUGGACGGUGAUGACGGCGCAGCGAGCUCCGGCCCGGUGAGGAGCCGACCACGCAGCCGUCGUGUACUCGGUACGCCCGCCCAAGCUCUAUCGAAGCGCGCCGCCAGCUUUGUGAGCCCGAGACGCGACACCAGCCGCCCUCGGAUGCCUGCUACACGGCGCUCUCCCUCUCUCGGUGCGCUGGGAACGUUAGGCAAGCGCGGUAGCCGCAAGGAACUUUCCCAUGCAACUGCGACCAGGUUUAUAGAGGUGGGCGAGGGGUAAGACGGGCUGGCUGCACGCAG
RNAcentral lists this long non-coding RNA (2858 nucleotides) under Zea mays. RNAcentral's name for it is "long non-coding RNA (ZMAY_LNC000413)". Lineage: Eukaryota; Viridiplantae; Streptophyta; Magnoliopsida; Poales; Poaceae. The record is from RNAcentral.